RNAcentral lists this long non-coding RNA (1355 nucleotides) under Homo sapiens (human). RNAcentral's name for it is "novel transcript". The record is from RNAcentral. Lineage: Eukaryota; Metazoa; Chordata; Mammalia; Primates; Hominidae.
GGGCAAAGUUGUUUUAGCGAUCUGGUUGCAACUAAGUAUUGGAGUUGUUGUGCCUUGAAGCUAGAAACUGCCUUGAAUUUCUACAUAGGGAAAUGUAAUCUAUUGCUUUCUUACAGAUUGCCAUUUGCCAGCUGACCUGUGACACAGCAGCAGUGUAUUACAUUUUCAAUGAGCAGUCUGUCUGGAGCUGCUAGUGGGAGAAACUGCUUCCUGGUUUCUAGGUUCUUUGCUCUGGGGUAGUUUAAGAUAAAUAUGGUAUCUGCCUCUACAUCAGUAUUAAGGGGAGGCAGAUGAUGAAUAAAUGAACAAAAAAUAUAAUAAUGGAUAUGUAUUUAUAAGUGCUAUGAAGAGAAGAAAUCCAAGCAAGAAGAGAGUGAAAUGAGGUAUCCUGUAAGAACAAAUUGCUGCCUCCUCCAGGUGGAAAGGGAUCAAAUAUAAUUAAUCUGUGUGUGCCACACAGUAGCUUGAUAGUUUAAUUGAGGAAUGUUGACAUAUUGAGAGCUCAGCAUUACUUUCUGCUAUCAGCAGUGACGGCAUAAGAGCUGUAUCCUAACUGCACUGCUGAAUUUGGGCUUCCUGUGGGGGCACGGCAAGUGCCCUCUUUGAGAGUGAGGAGGCUGAGAGUCUCACACCAACAGGAAUGAGUGCUUUGAAAUUAACUGGUGUUUGGAAAUUGAUCUGCUGACUGAGCUGGGCUCUCAAGCUCUUCUCGACAACCAUGUAAGAAGCGAUGACAAUUGUACUACUUCAUAACAGCUGCAUGGAACUCUGACACACACUUCACAGCAACCAGUCAUCUAUAUAAACCAAUUUCAGGAGCAAAAUUGCAUGGUGCCUCCACUCUGUUAUAAACACAAUGAUAUCCACUCAAAGCUGAUAAAUGCACUACAUUUCUCUGCAGCUUAAAAGAAUAAGUUCCUUGCAUCUGAGAUUUCCUUCCCACAAAUUAAGUCAUUUUUUUUGUCCUAGCCAUUAAUUUAAAACUUUAGAAAGAACAAGACCAUUUAGAUUUUGAAUACCCGUAAAAUAAAGAAAUUUCAGUCUUAACAUUUUGGUUCUCCAACUAAAUACACUUUCAAUUUUUUUUGGAAUAUCUCUGCCAGACUUUCCUAAUUGAUGAUCUGAAGGAGAAAGCAAAAGGAAGAAGUAAUUAAGGUUUAAAAUACUUACCACUGCCAUAGCAAUUCACCAGUUAAUUACAAUAUCUUUUCAUAGGAUUAUACACAAUACAAUUCUUAUUAUUGAAUAAAACAUCUACAAGCAACCUGGAAACUAUUGUUAAAACUUAAAUCUUAACUACCCUGUGUUUGGUGAAUAAUAAAGCUUUGGUGAAUCCGUUAAUAAUUCCAAUAGAG